GAUCAUGGCUCAGGAUGAACGCUAGCUACAGGCUUAACACAUGCAAGUCGCGGGGCAGCAUGGUCUUAGCUUGCUAAGACUGAUGGCGACCGGCGCACGGGUGAGUAACGCGUAUCCAACCUUCCCCUUAGUAGGGCAUAGCCCGGCGAAAGUCGGAUUAAUACCCUAUGUUCUUCGUAGAUGGCAUCUGAGACGAAGCAAAGGUUAGCGCUAAGGGAUGGGGAUGCGUCUGAUUAGGCAGUCGGCGGGGUAACGGCCCACCGAGCCUUCGAUCAGUAGGGGUUCUGAGAGGAAGGUCCCCCACAUUGGAACUGAGACACGGUCCAAACUCCUACGGGAGGCAGCAGUGAGGAAUAUUGGUCAAUGGGCGAGAGCCUGAACCAGCCAAGUAGCGUGCAGGACGACGGCCCUACGGGUUGUAAACUGCUUUUAUGCGGGGAUAAAGUGCCCUACGUGUAGGGUAUUGCAGGUACCGCAUGAAUAAGGACCGGCUAAUUCCGUGCCAGCCGCAGC
Molecule: ribosomal RNA, 513 nt
Filed under: uncultured bacterium
Lineage: Bacteria
Description: bacterial SSU rRNA
Rfam family: Bacterial small subunit ribosomal RNA
Source: RNAcentral